This 579-nucleotide ribosomal RNA is filed under the name uncultured bacterium. RNAcentral describes it as "bacterial SSU rRNA". It matches the Rfam family "Bacterial small subunit ribosomal RNA", at positions 338 to 916 of the family's 1533-position model. The record is from RNAcentral.
CCUACGGGAGGCAGCAGUAGGGAAUAUUGGGCAAUGGAUGCAAGUCUGACCCAGCCAUCCCGCGUGCCGGAAGAAGGCCCUCAGGGUUGUAAACGGCUUUUGACGGUGAAGAACCGACAGGAUGCGUCCUGUUUUGACGGUAGCCGUUGAAUAAGCACCGGCUAACUCCGUGCCAGCAGCCGCGGUAAUACGGAGGGUGCGAGCGUUGUCCGGAUUUAUUGGGUUUAAAGGGUGCGUAGGCUGGAAGGUCAGUCAGCGGUGAAAAGCUGUCGCUUAACGAUAGUCUUGCCGCAGAUACUUCCUUUCUUGGAUGAGGAGGAGGCCACUGGAACGGAUGGUGUAGCGGUGAAAUGCAUAGAUAUCAUCCAGAACACCGAUUGCGAAGGCAGGUGGCUGUACCUUAAUCGACGCUGAUGCACGAAAGCAUGGGGAGCAAACAGGAUUAGAUACCCUGGUAGUCCAUGCCGUAAACGAUGAGGACUAGCUGUUGGGCUCUUAGAGUUCAGUGGCACAGGGAAACCGUUAAGUCCUCCACCUGGGGAGUACGCCGGCAACGGUGAAACUCAAAUGAAUUGACGG